Non-coding RNA from Nicotiana tabacum (common tobacco), 2875 nucleotides. Lineage: Eukaryota; Viridiplantae; Streptophyta; Magnoliopsida; Solanales; Solanaceae. The record is from RefSeq and is a predicted model, not a curated record.
UUCCCCAACUCACCCUACACCCGCCCCACUCCCCUCCAAAAAGACCCUUAGUCUACUGCUGAUCAAAACCUAAAACUGCUAUCAGAAAUUUAUGGGAGAAGAGAAGACCAUUUGUCACCUCCGCCGGCAUCAACUGCUCAUUUUAGAAUUUCUUCUCAUCAAGAGGCUCUACGAAUCCUUCAAGGAAAAUCAGUAUCAUGACUGUGAUGCAAAGGAGAAGUUGAGUAAAGAAUUAGGCUUAACAGCUCACCAGGUGUUAUGAGUUCUCCCUAGCAUAUGUUAAUUUCAACUUCGUCCGCAUUUUCGCAACUUGUAUCUUUGAUUUUGCUUCGCGGCUGCCCUCUUUUUCCUUAGUUUCUUUUUGUCAAAUAUACAGGUCAGUAAAUGUUUUUAAAAUGCUCGUCAUUGUAAUCGUCAUUCUUCUCGCUGAGACUCAAUUAUGAGUCAAAAAGUGUUGAAAGAAUCUCCUUCCUAACCAAAUAUAAUGGGAGAACCACUUGGAACUGAAUCACUAUAUGUGAUAAAGUUAAAGUUGAACAGAGUAGCAUUUCUUAUGUAAUGUUGGGGAUAAAUAUAAAAUGUGCAUUUAUUUUCUGCUCUAUGAGCUAUUUACAUUACCAAUAAGAAAACAAAUCAAACAAAUUAUUAGUAACUCAUGAAAGGGAAACACUUUUAGAUGUUUAAACUUCUGAACAUUAUUCCGAUAUUGCGUUGUCUGCCUUUAAAAGUGAACGGCUAAAUUCUUUUAGAGUUUGCUCCCCUAGUAAUGGAUUAUAUUGUUCCUUGAGCCUUGCUUUAAACUUGGAAUUUUUUUUUAAUUAUGCCAAAGAUCUUUCCUUUAUAUAAUCCACGUGAGAUAACUGUCGGGAGUGUGAAUUUAGUUUAGAUUUUGCACCCUCCUGUUAUUCUGUCUCUUAUCCACUAAGUUUUACUACUACUAUGUAAGAUGUACAAAUUCAUUUCUCUCUCAUAGGAAGUAUAUGUGAUUUAAUAUGUUGGUGAUGGAGAUGAAAGCUUUUGCAGAAGCAUAAGUGAUUUAAUAUGAUGAAAGUACUUCUUAUGAAAUUUCGGUGAGCAUCACAAGUCAUACACAAAUAUAACUUAAUCUCUCCGUCACCUUGUGCAUACUGAAAUUAGAGUAUCCUUUCUGCUAUUGAAUGCUUUUACUGUUAAUCUUGAAGCAUGUAUCUUACUGGUUGCGUUAUGUCUAAAUUAGUAUUCCGAGAGCUUAGCUGGUAUGUGAACCUUCUAUAUUUAUGGUCAUGUCCAUAUUUUUUUUGUUAAUUUGAAUUUAAGUAGUUUUUUUAUUUGAUCUUGCACUUGCUCAAAGCUUCUGUUUCAUGUAUUCUAAUUGCUGGAAUUAGAUACCGUCGACAGUGUUAAGGCAUUUUUAAAUCUUGGACCUAGGGAAAAGUUGGAGAAAGAGAGAAAAUAAUAAAAUUUCAGAAAAAUGGGUCAAUUCAUUGUGCUCCAUUUCGUUGGUAGUUCUUUCCGUUGAACUUGAAUUUGUUACUCAAGAAUAAUAGUUAUCUUUUUGUUUUGCAUAUGUGGAACUAUAGAAAAGUAGACUAAUGAAUAUUUGUGCUGAAAUUAUUGCUUUUAACCCGAUUUACAUGCUUCUCACAGUAAAAUUGUUUCAUUCUAUUUUCUUGUAUUCUUUGCUGUCCUGUUUUCUUUAUUUUGUGGCAUGGUCACCGGUUCCUCUUGCUAAAGACCAACACAAUUGUUUGGAGUAGUAAAGAAUCCAAUUGCUUGGAAAUAUUUUCCUUUUCUAGAUUUUCGACUAAUAUGCAGUGACUCUCUUUAAUAUCAAAAUUUCAGUGCCGAAUCAAGGUGGGUGUACCUCAAUUUUGGCUCAUCAGUUCACUUAGAUGAACUUUUUUCCAUUUAUUAAAAAUAUUUUCCGAAUCUGUUUUAUGUUUCGAUUCCCUCUGUCUUACUUAUAUUUCAGGAGAUCAUAAACAAAAAGAAUAUAGAGAUUUGCUGCUACAAAGGAAUCGCAAGACUUCAAAAGAUAGGAUUUGGAGCAUAAAAUGCCGGGAAAGGGGGUAAUUACAUUUGAGACAGGAUUAUUUGAGUUAAAAACCUUUCUAAUGUAUGUUUAACUUAUUUCCAGCGAGACAUCCAAGACACUGUUGUAACUUAAUGGGAAUAGAGACAACUGAACGGAUGAGUUAAAAUUCUUUACCAGAAACUCAUGUUGGAACAACUUAUUUGCUCAAUGGAUUUCAGCAAAGAAUGUCUGCUUCAGAAAGCAUAUGGAAUUUAGUCAUAAAUAAUCUCAACAGAACAUGGUUAAUCUUUUAAUAACAAGAAAGAGAGGAAGAAAGUGAGAAAAGUGGGUAUAUUGAAGAAGGAUCCUGACCAAAUGAGUUAUACUAGAUUUUCUUCGAUUCUCAACGAAGUUUAACACUUUCAAGGUUGCUCAAGUUAUGGAGAUAUUGAAGGCAUAAUCCAACAAGCUGCAAGGAUCAUGUUUGGUAAAGUCAAAGUGUCGUGAAGGCUUACCUAGAAUUGAGCAUGAGAUAUCAUCUGGUGAUAAUCUUUAGUUGCAAUUUUGCAAAUAAAGAUUACUUUAGACUGCAAAUUGCUUCGCAUGGUCUAGUAGUUCUAAAACAAGUCAUAUACGAGUAAAGUGUAGCAGAUCAAGAAUUUGGAAGUUCGAAAUAUCAAUCCUUGAAAAAGUGCAGAGCAAAAAGUUGAAAUACAAGAAAUUUAUUUUGUUGGGGUGGUUUAAAGAUAUCUGAUGUACAUUGAAUGCAUUUUUUUCUAUGUUUAGGAGUUGUUAAAAUAUUGUCAUACAAUUUGGACGGUUUUAUUAUUCUUUAGUUCUUUGUAUCAAUGAUGAAGUUUCAUAUGAAUACUGAUUAUUUAA